UAGGGAAUCUUCGGCAAUGGGGGCAACCCUGACCGAGCAACGCCGCGUGAGUGAAGAAGGUUUUCGGAUCGUAAAGCUCUGUUGUAAGUCAAGAACGAGUGUGAGAGUGGAAAGUUCACACUGUGACGGUAGCUUACCAGAAAGGGACGGCUAACUACGUGCCAGCAGCCGCGGUAAUACGUAGGUCCCGAGCGUUGUCCGGAUUUAUUGGGCGUAAAGCGAGCGCAGGCGGUUUGAUAAGUCUGAAGUUAAAGGCUGUGGCUCAACCAUAGUUCGCUUUGGAAACUGUCAAACUUGAGUGCAGAAGGGGAGAGUGGAAUUCCAUGUGUAGCGGUGAAAUGCGUAGAUAUAUGGAGGAACACCGGUGGCGAAAGCGGCUCUCUGGUCUGUAACUGACGCUGAGGCUCGAAAGCGUGGGGAGCGAGCAGGAUUAGAUACCCUGGUAGUCCACGCCGUAAACGAUGAGUGCUAGGUGUUGGAUCCUUUCCGGGAUUCAGUGCCGCAGCUAACGCAUUAAGCACUCCGCCUGGGGAGUACGACCGCAAGGUUG
This 550-nucleotide ribosomal RNA is filed under the name uncultured bacterium. RNAcentral describes it as "bacterial SSU rRNA". It matches the Rfam family "Bacterial small subunit ribosomal RNA", at positions 355 to 896 of the family's 1533-position model. The record is from RNAcentral.